UCAAACUUGGUCAUUUAGAGGAAGUAAAAGUCGUAACAAGGUCUCCGUAGGUGAACCUGCGGAGGGAUCAUUAACGAGUACGGGUCCUCACGGGCCCCAACUCCCACCCUUUGUUGUCGGAUAAAACGUUGCCUCGGCGGGGCCAGCGGCCCCCUUCAUCGGGGGCCCGGGCCCCCGCGCCCACCCGCCGGCGGACUACCAUAACACUGCUCUUUAACCAUGCGGUCUGAGCUGAUUAAACAAAUAAUCAAAACUUUCAACAACGGAUCUCUUGGUUCUGGCAUCGAUGAAGAACGCAGC
Molecule: unclassified non-coding RNA, 300 nt
Filed under: uncultured fungus
Lineage: Eukaryota; Fungi
Description: partial contains small subunit ribosomal RNA, internal transcribed spacer 1, and 5.8S ribosomal RNA
Rfam family: Eukaryotic small subunit ribosomal RNA (bases 1-73)
Source: RNAcentral